RNAcentral lists this unclassified non-coding RNA (328 nucleotides) under soil metagenome. Its description in RNAcentral is "partial contains 5.8S ribosomal RNA, internal transcribed spacer 2, and large subunit ribosomal RNA". The stretch from base 1 to 120 matches the Rfam family "5.8S ribosomal RNA", at positions 35 to 154 of the family's 154-position model. The record is from RNAcentral.
GAUGAAGAACGUAGCGAAAUGCGAUAAGUAAUGUGAAUUGCAGAAUUCAGUGAAUCAUCGAAUCUUUGAACGCACAUUGCGCCCCUCGGUAUUCCGAGGGGCAUGCCUGUUCGAGCGUCAUUAUAACCCUUCAAGCUCAGCUUGGUGUUGGGGCCUGCUGUAACUGGUAGCCCUUAAAAUCAGUGGCUGUGCUAUUAGGCUCUAAGCGUAGUAAUUCUUCUCGCUAUAGUGUGUAGUGAGCGCUUGCCAGAACCCCAAACUUUUAUAUGAUUGACCUCGGAUCAGGUAGGGAUACCCGCUGAACUAAAGCAUAUCAAUAAGCGGAGGA